Gavialis gangeticus (Gharial) is the source of this 208-nucleotide long non-coding RNA. RefSeq lists it as uncharacterized. NCBI's taxonomy places the organism in Eukaryota, Metazoa, Chordata, Crocodylia, Gavialidae. The transcript is spliced from 3 exons. The record is from RefSeq and is a predicted model, not a curated record.
UGGGAGGAGGAGUAGGCACCUCAUCCAGCCGUGGCUUGCACCCAGCCCCACUUCACACCCCAGCCCAACUGACCCAGCUCUUAGAGCCAAUCCUUAUCCAGAAGUUAUGGAUUGAGCUUGCCAACUUCCCUUACCUACAUUGUUCUAACAUGCCAGAGGCUGUUCACCUUGGAGACCCACUGCAGAUAUGCGGAGGGCAGAUAGGAAG